UGGAGGAUUGAGAAGGUUGAGCAGCUUGUUUUAUGCUGUUGUAACUGGUUAUAACCUCCAAGAGUAACCAACAAACCACAAAAUUAAGUGGCUCUGUCAUAAGCAGAGCUGGUGUUUGUGCGUUUG
RNAcentral lists this small nucleolar RNA (126 nucleotides) under Monopterus albus (swamp eel). RNAcentral's name for it is "Small nucleolar RNA SNORA47 (ENSMALG00000021071.1)". It matches the Rfam family "Small nucleolar RNA SNORA47". Lineage: Eukaryota; Metazoa; Chordata; Actinopteri; Synbranchiformes; Synbranchidae. The record is from RNAcentral.